UUGUAUGUAACUCAAUUGGUUAGAGCACGGGACACAAAUCCCGUAGGAUGUUGGUUCGAGUCCAAUCAUACAAA
RNAcentral lists this transfer RNA (74 nucleotides) under Ishigurovirus osborne. Its description in RNAcentral is "Aeromonas phage 65 tRNA". It matches the Rfam family "tRNA". From Rfam's summary of the family: Transfer RNA (tRNA) molecules are approximately 80 nucleotides in length. Their secondary structure includes four short double-helical elements and three loops (D, anti-codon, and T loops). RNAcentral also lists the same sequence under 1 other name. Lineage: Duplodnaviria; Heunggongvirae; Uroviricota; Caudoviricetes; Pantevenvirales; Straboviridae. The record is from Rfam by way of RNAcentral.